CUACUGGGGUAUCUAAUCCUGUUUGCUCCCCUUGCUUUCGCGCCUCAGCGUCAGUAUCAGCCCAGAAAACCGUCUUCACCACCGGUGUUCUUCCACAUAUCUACGCAUUUCACCGCUACACGUGGAAUUCCGUUUUCCCUAACUGAACUCUAGUCAGGAAGUUUCAAAUGCAGCUCCGGAGUUGAGCUCCGGAAUUUCACAUCUGACUUUCCCGACCGCCUGCGCGCCCUUUACGCCCAGUAAUUCCGAUCAAUGCUUGCACCCUCCGUAUUACCGCGGCUGCUGGCAC
This 289-nucleotide ribosomal RNA is filed under the name uncultured bacterium. Its description in RNAcentral is "partial 16S ribosomal RNA". The record is from RNAcentral.